This 185-nucleotide non-coding RNA is filed under the name Bacillus sp. (in: firmicutes). RNAcentral's name for it is "Bacillus sp. Lysine sequence". It matches the Rfam family "Lysine riboswitch aptamer". Rfam says of the family: Riboswitches are metabolite binding domains within certain messenger RNAs that serve as precision sensors for their corresponding targets. Allosteric rearrangement of mRNA structure is mediated by ligand binding, and this results in modulation of gene expression. This family includes riboswitches that sense lysine in a number of genes involved in lysine metabolism, including lysC. Lineage: Bacteria; Bacillati; Bacillota; Bacilli; Caryophanales; Bacillaceae. RNAcentral also lists the same sequence under 1 other name. The record is from RNAcentral.
AAGUGAGGUAGAGGCGCGGUAUUUAACAGUCUUUAGCAGAGUUUGAGAGACGUUGAAGCUAGAGAGAAGGAAAUAUCGCCGAAGUGAGUAAAUUGUUCUCAACAAUUGCUUGCUGGGUCUGUAGUGAAGAACUGCAGGACUGUCUCAAUAAGUUUACCAGCUUAUUGAGUUGUGCUAUCUCAUCU